UUUCAUUACUAAAGACUAGGGAGGACAAAAAGCUCCUAUUCUGAAGAGGGCCACUCCCCUCUCUAAAAAAAAGGACUUACGUUCCCUAGCAUAUUUAGUCAACUAAUUGACUACUUUAUUCUGUUCUCUAAACACGGGAGAGAAAACAGGAUCAGCGCCAUGAUACCCGAUAACAAAACCCAACCCCACUAAUUCUUUCCCAUGAAGCCAUCAUAGUUUAUCAUAAUACACUCUUCGGGAGGAGUCCACUAUGUUUGACAGGGGAUAAUCUCUUGCCUAAAUCCAUCAGGAAUCUUGGCCAUGUCAUAAGCAGCCACCAAAGUCUAGUGUCAGCCGCUGCCUGCAACAGUCCCCGGUCACCGCUCACAUGCAUUCCAUCAAGGAUCCACUCACCAGAGUUCCAAGUAUUCCCAUGCAAAAUUACUCCAAAAGCUGCCACAAAGAAACUGAGAACCGACAAGAGAAGAAAAAAUGAUCAAUGGUUUCAGGUACUAAUCCACUCCAAGAAAGAAAACCUCAUAUUUAGAGACAUUAACCUUAAGAUUAGUGAUCGAUUCAAACACACGAAGGAUAUCAAGAACAACUCGAUGAGAAUAGGGGUUUGUACAAAAGCAAAGCGAGAUGUCAUCAGCAUACAUCAAAUGAGAGACCUUACAAGACCUUUUGAAAGAGAAAUGAAUAAUCAGCCCCCUCUCACAAGCAUGCUCAAUCAAAAAUGAAAGGAGCUGAGAUACAAGAAUGUAUAAAUAGGAAGAGAUUGGAUCUCCUUGAUGAAUACCCCUAUUCCCUCUAAAAUAAUUGGACGAUUGUCCAUUUACCAUGCAAGCAAAAAAAGGAGAGGAUAUACAGAUCUUAACCCAAGAAACGAAUUUAUCAGGAAAUUUAGCCAACUGAAAGUUUUCAAGAUAGUCGAUCAGGACACCUUAUCAUAAGCCUUUUCUAAAUCAAGAAUAAGAAUAACGUAUGGGUUCUUACCUCUAGAAUUGAAUAAGGCAUGUAUGACCUCCUAGGCAAUCAAAAUAUUAUCAUAAACAGAAUGCUCCUGAAUAAAAGUAAACUGUUCACAAGAGAUAAGAGAUUUCAAAUGGGGUUUAAUACGAUUAGCCAAAACUUUAGCUAACAUACAAUAAUUAACAUUACACAAAGAAAUUGGUCGAAAAUCCUUGACUUUCCUCGGAAUUUUGAUUUUUGAGAUAAAGGCUAUGAAAUUUUUAAACCAAUCAGUGGGAAGGAAUGUAUGAUCAUAAAAGGAAUGAAAGGCCUGAACCAAAGAAUAAGAUAUAAUAUUCCGGUAAAAUCGAUAGAACUCUAUAGUGAACCCAUCCAGACUCAGAUUCUUACCUAGUCCUAACAAGGGCAAAGCAUCCCAAAUCUCGCACCUACUAAAAGGCCAGGCCAAACAAUUCCCAUCCUUAGUACACAAGCCCCAAUCGGGGGGAAUGGGAAACUCAUGCAUCGCUGGGUGAGGGGCCAAGUUCGAGUGACAUAGGUUCAAAUAAAAGGAUACAAACUCAUUCCCACUGAGGGUGGAAUCAGUGAUAAUGGAUGAUCCCGAGUAAAGUUGGUGAAUGAAAUUAUUCCUACGUUGAGUGGACACUGAGGACUGGUAAAACUUAGUAUUAGAAGCCCCUUCAUUAAUCCACUUGGUCUUUAGCCUGAGACCACAACUUCAAAUUAAUUUGCUUGAGCAAAGUAGCACUCUUAUGAUGUAGACAAGAAAGAUGCAAACUUUCAAACUAAGACCGACAUCAGCCUCUCUCCCCUCUAAAUAGACAAUCUCUUGUUGGAUACCAGACAAAGCCUCCUUGAUCUUACCUAAACAAUUUUUAUUCCAAAAGGAAAGAGGCUUACAAAGAUUGCACAAGUAAGAAGAAAAAGCAGCAAUCGGGGAUUGGCCCGAAGGAUCCCACGAACCCCAAACACUCUAAAUGAUACUUAAAAAAACAGGAGGAAGGUGUUUGACCACUGAGUUACCAAAAAGAUCCAACCAUUUGUGAUUAGCAAAAAGCUCUAUCCAAUCUAAUAAGGAUGCGAGCUGGACCCCUACGGUUGUUACACCAGGUAUACCUAGGACUAAUGAAACCUAAAUCCGAUAAAGCAGAAACCGCAAGAAAACAAUUAAAGCGCCUGACUGAAGAACAAAAAGAGAAAGGAGACCCUUCCAACUUAUCCUGCGCAUUAGAUAUACAAUUAAAAUCCCCUAAGACAAGCCAUGGGAAGUUACUCGAAUCAGCCGAAGAAAGUGAAUCCCAUAAAAGAUUACGGUUUAAGAUUGAGACUCUAGAGUAAAUUCCAGAAAAAAUCCAAGGAUCUGAGUCUCUAAAUUGAAUCA
This is a non-coding RNA of Musa acuminata subsp. malaccensis (wild Malaysian banana), 2332 nucleotides long. The record is from RefSeq and is a predicted model, not a curated record. NCBI's taxonomy places the organism in Eukaryota, Viridiplantae, Streptophyta, Magnoliopsida, Zingiberales, Musaceae.